CAGCUUGGUAGGUCCUUUUGGCCACGCUUAGAAAAUCUUCAGUGCGUGCUGUGGAUUUUAAAGGUGAGAGCCUUUUGUCUGCAGAUGUAGGAGCUGUUUUUAAGGAAGCCUCAUUUCUGUCCUGAGGAUUGAAAUCAGAUCAUUUUACCGUACUCUAAAGAGAAAGAGAGGGGACACCAGGAGCAAUGGUUCGUGGAUAAGGGGGAUUUAUUCUUAUCCUGAUUGGCUGGGGGCUGGAUCGUGUACAUUGAGCACAUUGUGAAAGAGCAGAGGUAUGAUAGGCAGGGGAUGUGGUUCGAUGUGCUGGAAGUGACCUUGGAUCCUCCAUUGAGACCCUUUCCAGGUACCAGGGUAGAGUGCCUACUCUGAGUGAUCCAAUCUUCAAGGCUGUGUUUAACGUCAUGUUAUGCUGAAAAACAGCCUUAUGAAGACCAAACAGGUUCAGGGUGGUGCAGCUCAAUGAAGAUAAGGUAAACACCUGCUCCAACUGCGCCACCCACCAUGGGCCCUACCACAGGAAUCCACCACCAGCAGCCUCCAGCUCUGCAGACAGGAGACAUACGCAGAGAUUAUAAUGUCACAAAAACGCAGCCCCAAACAAGUAUCUGGUCUUAUUAAGGAUUUAAAAAUAAUUCAUCUUUGUGUCAAUUUAACCAUGGAAAGUGUUUCUCAGUGGCUCUGAAGGUGCUUUGACAAGUAAACAAAAACUAGUGACUUGUUUGCUUAUUGCACAGUCCUAAAAAACAAACAAACUAGGAUCAUGAAGUAAAAAGUUUACCAUGCAGAGAGAGGCUGAUGUUAGAUUCAUGCCGAGGAAUCACUAACAAGAGUGAAAUUCUAAUAUUUUUAUUUAUACUCUAAUAAAUGGGAUAAUCAUUAAGACAGACAGCUGAUGGAAAUGUCUUGUUGGGAUUUUAAAAAACACUACAAACAAUAUGAAAAUAUUACCUUUAUGUUUUGGUUUCAAAGAGUUUUAUGUUGAUUUGCUAGAACUGAGCAGGAACCUCCAGUGCUGAAAAAUGUAACAAAAACUGCAGUUCUUCCAGUGGCCACUUGAGGCCAGCUCCAAAAGUGAGUUAAAAUCAUUCUUCUAAUGUCGACAUAGCCAUCGUCACAUCAGGAAUAAACACAGUUAUGACCUGAUACAAAAAAUUGUGUUUUUUACAACUCCUUCACUUUGAGUUUGAAAGGUUGAUGCCAGUAGUGUAUGAGUUACUUCAUGGCUUGUUUGUAGAGUGUGUUGGACAAACAAUAUGUACAACAUUAUUGUUAAUUAUACCUGUAGACUGCCCAAGAAACCUGAGUGUCAGUUUUGAGUUAAAUUCUAGUGGUUUUUGUUUUUCAAAUUAAUGUUACUUAGCACUAACUAGCAGAUAUCUCAUUCUGUGAAAUGCAACUAGCUAGCAUUAUCUAAUAAGUUAGAUGUAGCUUCUGGGUCCGAAAACAGGAGCCAGUACCUUAAACUUGCAUUCCUUUUAACCCUUUAAGACCUACCAUAGAACCAAGUC
Long non-coding RNA from Neolamprologus brichardi, 1508 nucleotides. RefSeq lists it as uncharacterized. The record is from RefSeq and is a predicted model, not a curated record. Lineage: Eukaryota; Metazoa; Chordata; Actinopteri; Cichliformes; Cichlidae.